GGAAGGGUAGCGAAGAGGCUAAACGCGGCGGACUGUAAAUCCGCUCCUUCGGGUUCGGGGGUUCGAAUCCCUCCUCUUCCA
RNAcentral lists this transfer RNA (81 nucleotides) under Streptococcus pneumoniae. RNAcentral describes it as "transfer RNA-Tyr(GTA)". It matches the Rfam family "tRNA". From Rfam's summary of the family: Transfer RNA (tRNA) molecules are approximately 80 nucleotides in length. The record is from RNAcentral. Lineage: Bacteria; Bacillati; Bacillota; Bacilli; Lactobacillales; Streptococcaceae.